This 86-nucleotide transfer RNA is filed under the name Halioglobus sp. Its description in RNAcentral is "tRNA-Leu". It matches the Rfam family "tRNA". From Rfam's summary of the family: Transfer RNA (tRNA) molecules are approximately 80 nucleotides in length. Their secondary structure includes four short double-helical elements and three loops (D, anti-codon, and T loops). Further hydrogen bonds mediate the characteristic L-shaped molecular structure. tRNAs have two regions of fundamental functional importance: the anti-codon, which is responsible for specific mRNA codon recognition, and the 3' end, to which the tRNAs corresponding amino acid is attached (by aminoacyl-tRNA synthetases). tRNAs cope with the degeneracy of the genetic code in two manners: having more than one tRNA (with a specific anti-codon) for a particular amino acid; and 'wobble' base-pairing, i.e. permitting non-standard base-pairing at the 3rd anti-codon position. Lineage: Bacteria; Pseudomonadati; Pseudomonadota; Gammaproteobacteria; Cellvibrionales; Halieaceae. The record is from RNAcentral.
GCCGAAGUGGUGAAAUUGGUAGACACGCCAUCUUGAGGGGGUGGUGAGCUAUGCUCGUGCGGGUUCAAAUCCCGCCUUCGGCACCA